AGGGGUGAAAGGCCAAUCAAACUUGCUGAUAGCUGGUUCUCCGCGAAAUCUAUUUAGGUAGAGCGUCACGAUUAGACUCUGGGGGGUAGAGCACUGAAUGGGCUAGGGGUCCUCACCGGAUUACCAAACCUUCUCAAACUCCGAAUACCCAGAAGUUAUGCGUGGCAGACACACGGCGGGUGCUAACGUCCGUCGUGAAAAGGGAAACAACCCAGACCGCCAAUUAAGGCCCCUAAGUAAUAGCUAAGUGCGAAACGAUGUGGAGGUGCUGAGACAAUCAGGA
RNAcentral lists this ribosomal RNA (283 nucleotides) under Fragilariopsis kerguelensis. RNAcentral describes it as "partial Bacterial large subunit ribosomal RNA". It matches the Rfam family "Bacterial large subunit ribosomal RNA", at positions 817 to 1098 of the family's 2925-position model. The record is from RNAcentral. Lineage: Eukaryota; Bacillariophyta; Bacillariophyceae; Bacillariales; Bacillariaceae.